UCCGGCUUGUCGCCGGCAGUCUCCUUAGAGUUCCCACCAUUACGUGCUGGCAACUAAGGACAGGGGUUGCGCUCGUUGCGGGACUUAACCCAACACCUCACGGCACGAGCUGACGACAGCCGUGCAGCACCUCCACAGGCUCCUAAAUAAAUAGGUCCCUCACAUCUCUGAUCGGUACUACCUGCAGUUCAAACCCAGGUAAGGUUCUUCGCGUUGCGUCGAAUUAAACCACAUGCUCCACCGCUUGUGCGGGCCCCCGUCAAUUCCUUUGAGUUUCACCCUUGCGGGCGUACUCCCCAGGUGGCACACUUAAUGCGUUAGCUGCGGCACGGAAGGGGUCGAUACCUCCCACACCUAGUGUGCAUCGUUUACUGCGUGGACUAC
This 384-nucleotide unclassified non-coding RNA is filed under the name uncultured bacterium. Its description in RNAcentral is "contains 16S-23S intergenic spacer region". The record is from RNAcentral.